Molecule: ribosomal RNA, 253 nt
Filed under: uncultured bacterium
Lineage: Bacteria
Description: partial 16S ribosomal RNA
Rfam family: Bacterial small subunit ribosomal RNA
Source: RNAcentral
UACGUAGGGUGCGAGCGUUAAUCGGAAUUACUGGGCGUAAAGCGUGCGCAGGCGGUUCGUUGUGUCGGCGGUGAAAGCCCCGGGCCUAACCUGGGAACCGCAUUCGAUACUGAAUGUCUAGAGUAUGGUAGAGGGAGGUGGAAUUCCCGGUGUAGCGGUGAAAUGCGCAGAUAUCGGGAGGAACACCGGUGGCGAAGGCGGUUCUCUGGGCCUGUACUGACGCUGAGGAGCGAAAGCGUGGGGAGCGAACAGG